Felis catus (domestic cat) is the source of this 3358-nucleotide long non-coding RNA. RefSeq lists it as uncharacterized. The record is from RefSeq and is a predicted model, not a curated record. The transcript is spliced from 5 exons. NCBI's taxonomy places the organism in Eukaryota, Metazoa, Chordata, Mammalia, Carnivora, Felidae.
CACCCAGGCGCCCCUACUUUUUAAAUCUUAGAGUAGCUUUUCCAUUGUUAUUUCUCAAGAUUGUCUAAAAUCUAUACAUAAAAAAUCAAAUUAUCCAGAAGCUACCCAUCUGACAGUGUUGUAAUGAAGACCAAACACAGCAAAGCAAGGACUAAAACCCAUCCUCAGUGUUCCUCCUCAACCACCACUGGGGGGGCUUCCCAUGAAUGUCAGCAAGACACAGGAUAUAUUUUAUGACUUCAUGACUCAGUAGAGUGCCAUAAUGUAUGCCAAAGACAUUCCUCUGUUUACACAACACGCAUGCACACACACACACACACACACGAAUACACAGUGUCUACCACAUGCACAGCUCUGUCCCACGUGGUAGAAAGGCAACCAUAAAUCUAGGGUAAUAAACGUAUAUAGCUUUUGAUGAAAUGUGGAAAGUCUGAGUUAAACCGGAUAAAUUUGGAAAAUAUAGCCAUCUGUUGUGACGUUGUGCUCAUAUUCAUAGGAAUAUCGUAUAACUGUAUUUCUUUUCCUUCUACGGUAUUUGUUCUUGCAGUUGCCCAGCCAGUCAGGAACAAGGAAGGAUUUAACAGCUAUUAUUUGUGGUCAGCAGUGCUAGCUGCCUUCUCAGGAUCCUUUCUCUUGUUCUUCCCAAUUAGGAGAAACCAGUUAAAUGUUCUCAGGUAAAAUCACUUUACCAGAUGCACUGGCAAUUAGGAACGGUCACGUGACUGUUCUGGCGAAUGAAAAGCCAGUAGAAAGCAUACGGUGCCUCUGAAUGUUUUGUGGAGGAAGAAGCUUGCCUGGCGUUUAUCCUUUGCCGCUUUUCCCUUUCGGGCAGAGCAGCACCUCUUACAGCCAUGAGAACAAAAGUUACAUGCCAAAAAGGGACCAGAAGAAAAGAGAUAGAACCCGGUUCCAUGAGCAGCUACACAGGCCUUGGACUCUCCCCCCAAAUUAUGUCUGGCUGACAUUCGUUCCUGGAGAUUGUGCUGAUAGAAACCAUCACCAUAGAAGUGGCUCUACCCACUCUACCUGCCAUUACAUCUUCUUACUGUAAGUGCACCCCUCCAGAUGGAUCUCACAAGUUUAGCAUCUGUCUCCCCCAGCUAGACUGUGGGCUCUCUAAGGGCAGGAUGCUGGCCAUUUCAUGCAUUCACUACGGAAUCCCCAGAACUUGGAUCGGCACCUGGCACAUUGCCUCAAUUAUGACCCAGGAAAUCAGCCUCUGGCCUAAAUGGGAACAGCAAGCAGAACAAGCCAAUUGCCACCGGCAGCCUAUUCCAUUUGAAAACAGUAGCAUCAACUGCAGAUUGGUGAAAAUCCGGCUGCAAGUUCCCAUCUGCCUUCAGGUACAAAAAGAGGUAAAAGAGGCACUUUGAUUUUCAAAGAAGAGGUGUUCGCGCUUAAUUAGAAGUCAGUGAAAUCCAGGGAGACUCUGUAAUUAUUUUAAAGACCCCUUGUGUGAAAUCUGCAGUACCCUUGUGAAAUAUGCCACUGUCACAGCUGCCCUCUGAUGAGGCUUGGGUUCCAAUCUGUGCCUCUCCAGCAGUCUGUGCGACCAUCGCUGCCAGGUGGCAUCAGCCUUCUCACAGCGUCCUCCUCCUGUCUGCCAUGAGGGAAUAAAGCCGCAUCUCCCUGGGAAGCUUCUACUGGUGGCUCAGAAGAAAUCUGUCUGCGGAGAAGAGAUGGCAAGCGUCCUUGGAAAUGUGAAUUAUUGCUGUCAUCAGCACAUUGCCUCCCCUUUGUAUUGAACCUUUGACAUUGAAACAGUUUGCUGCUACGUAGUUUCGAUGUGUGUCGUUUGCCUUGGGCUUGCUGAACUAUGGAGCUUCAGAGCUAGUUGUAUGUGGCUUUGUGGGAAGCCGAAAAAUCUUCGGAGACUGCGUGGAAAGGAAACCGGCAAACUGAUACUCAGGGAAGUUGCCUGAAAUGUUUGCAGUUACCAAUUUAUUAUUUAUUUUAAGAACGUACCCCCAGAAAUAACUAUUCUAACUGAACUGGCGCUAAAAUGAAAAAAACAAAAAAUUGACAUCUUUGCUACUCCAGAGACAAGUAGACAAUCCUAUCUAUGCUUUACCCUUGGGGGUAAGCAUAUCCUCAAAGAAAGAAAAAAGAAAGCAAAGGAAAGGAAAGGAAAAUGCUGAGAGCAUCUGUUUGCUUCGGCCUGCAUCUUCUGUGCUCCAGGGACAGUGUGGCAAUUGUGCUGACAAAACAGAGUUUAUGGACGUAAGUCAUUUGUGCCAAUAUAGCUUCUGCAUAAAGCUGUGGGUGCAGUUGGUGACUGAGAAACCAGCCAUUUUGCAAGAAGACAUGUUUUCACCUUCAGAAGAUCCUCAAAGAUUUUCCCUCAACCUUUCACUAUUAAAUAAUCCAUAUUUGGCUGUUUUUUCUUCCUAGACCAUCGGAAAGACCUUGAGGCGAUCCUUGAUCAAUUUAUAUCCCAAUGUCGUAUGACAUCGAGGAAGAAAUUUUGAACUGCUCCAAAAAUCACUUUUGAAGGAAUUACCUAUGAUGGUAAGCAUUUAUAAAGCAGAGUAAAUACAUAAGGUUUCUACCUACAUUAGUGCUCCCUAGCCAUCAUAUGUGACCAUUAGGGAAAUACAGUACUCACAAAAAACAAACAAACAAACAAACAAACAAACAAAUAACCUUAAUCCUUUGGAAGAAAGUUUAAGCAGCCAAGUCAUAAAGUCAUUUUUCUACCGGUGGCUCUGCAUCAACCCUCCCAAAACAACAUUAUUUUUGGGGGUUUUUUUUCCAAAUAUUUUCUUUCUUUGACUUGAGGUUUUUUUUUUUAAUAUGAUGGAGAAAGAAAUGUAAUCCAAGUGCAAGAUAAUAGAGAAUAAUUCAUUUCCAUGACUGUGCUUUGUUUUCCUUUUCACAUCUGUGACAAUCAGUCUUCAAUACGUACAGUGCACUUAACUCAUAGAACUGAUCUUUCUCUGCAGGGCUGGGACUGAGGGGAAGGUGAAAACGCACAGAGACAAGCACUCUCAGGGCCCUGCCGGGGCCCUUGAACUUUGCUCCCUUCCUGCCUUCCUUGCUUCCCCUGAGCCCCAGCCUGAUGGGUCCCAGUCCCAUAGAAUUGACAGUCAAUCUGCUAAACUCACAUUCAAGUAGCUGUUAUUUUGUCUAAUCACAACCGUCAGGUGACAGUUAAUUCCUCGCUCUCCAUUCCGGUGAAAGAUAAUGAUAAUGGGAGGGCUCUCUUCUCAAAUUCUAACUACAAAGAAUUAUGCAAAUACUUUCUAUCCUAUAUGGGCAGAAAACUCAGGCCAUUUAUGGGGUGCCUGGGUGGCUCCGUCAGUUAAGCGUCCUCCUCUUGACCUCUGCUCAGGUCGUGAUCUCACAGUUUCUGAGUUUA